CCUACGGUGGUCUGCAGUAAGGGAUAUUGGUCAAUGGGGGAAACCCUGAACCAGCAACGCCGCGUGAGGGAAGACGGUUUUCGGAUUGUAAACCUCUGUCCUCUGUGAAGAUGAUGACGGUAGCAGAGGAGGAAGCUCCGGCUACGUACGUGCCAGCAGCCGCGGGAAUACGUAGGGAGCGAGCGUUGUCCGGAUGUACUGGGUGUAAAGGGUGCGUAGGCGGCUUGGCAAGUCAGUAGUGAAAUCCAUGGGCUUAAACCCUGAACUGCUAUUGAAACUGUCGAGCUUUAGUGAAGUAGAGGUAGGCGGAAUGCCCGGUGUAGCGGUGAGAUGCGUAGAGAUCGGGAGGAACACCAGUGGCGAAGGCGGCCUACUGGGCUUUAACUGACGCUGAGGCACGAAAGCGUGGGUAGCAAACAGGAUUAGAUACCCUUGUAGUC
RNAcentral lists this ribosomal RNA (440 nucleotides) under uncultured bacterium. RNAcentral describes it as "partial 16S ribosomal RNA". It matches the Rfam family "Bacterial small subunit ribosomal RNA", at positions 338 to 795 of the family's 1533-position model. The record is from RNAcentral.